Molecule: ribosomal RNA, 374 nt
Filed under: uncultured organism
Description: bacterial SSU rRNA
Rfam family: Bacterial small subunit ribosomal RNA
Source: RNAcentral
CGGGGGGAGCAAGCGUUGUUCGGAUUUACUGGGCGUAAAGGGCGCGUAGGCGGCCUCUGCAAGUCGACUGUGAAAUCUCCGGGCUUAACCCGGAACGGUCAGCCGAUACUGCAGGGCUAGAGUGCAGAAGGGGCAACUGGAAUUCUCGGUGUAGCGGUGAAAUGCGUAGAUAUCGAGAGGAACACCUGCGGCGAAGGCGGGUUGCUGGGCUGACACUGACGCUGAGGCGCGAAAGCUAGGGGAGCGAACGGGAUUAGAUACCCCGGUAGUCCUGGCCUUAAACGAUGAAUGCUUGGUGUCUGGGGUUUUAUAGUCCCCGGGUGCCGUCGCUAACGCUUUAAGCAUUCCGCCUGGGGAGUACGGUCGCAAGACUG